RNAcentral lists this small RNA (57 nucleotides) under Enterobacter cloacae. RNAcentral's name for it is "isrK". The record is from RNAcentral. Lineage: Bacteria; Pseudomonadati; Pseudomonadota; Gammaproteobacteria; Enterobacterales; Enterobacteriaceae. RNAcentral also lists the same sequence under 3 other names.
GCACCUGCAAAAUCAGGUGCCGGGAUUGGCGUCCUGAAAGUGUGCACAAACAAUCUU